GAGUUUGUCCGGUAAAACGAGAACUGCUAAUUCCUCGCCCCCAUGGUUCAACUCCAUGGCCUACUCG
RNAcentral lists this transfer RNA (67 nucleotides) under Kaloula walteri. RNAcentral describes it as "tRNA-Ser". The record is from RNAcentral. Lineage: Eukaryota; Metazoa; Chordata; Amphibia; Anura; Microhylidae.